CGAACGGGGAGAUUCAUCGUCAGCGGACGCCAGCUUCGCGUCGAUCGGCGAUGUCCCACGGGGGCCCUCGCGGCUCUCAGCGCAGGCACGCUGCCGUGCGCCGAUGUAUCCGGCUUCGCCAUCGUGCACUUCUCCCCUUGUAGAACGUCGCGACCCGCUGGGUGUCGGUCUACGGCCCGGGUGCGGUGGCUGACGCGCCGCCGGUAAAACGACGCGCGUAAAACCCCCGGUCGCCCGGCCGGCUGCCCGGUGGUACGCGCAAGGUAUCAGGCCGCAUACAUUGGUGCAUCGAGGUUGUCGCAAGCGCGCGCCACGGUAAACGGAGGUACGGACCUAGCGCCGUCACCGGUCCUGGCCCACUGUUGGUCGUACGGUUAACCUUCGACAGGCCUACGAACGUCCCAACAUGUCGAGGGGUCUCCCGCUCGUUGGCGACCGAUACCGGUCAGCGACGCUACUACUUUGGGUAUUUUUAUGACCCGUCUUGAAACA
This 492-nucleotide ribosomal RNA is filed under the name Myrmica excelsa. RNAcentral's name for it is "partial 28S ribosomal RNA". The record is from RNAcentral. Lineage: Eukaryota; Metazoa; Arthropoda; Insecta; Hymenoptera; Formicidae.